GAAAUGCGAUAAGUAAUGUGAAUUGCAGAAUUCAGUGAAUCAUCGAAUCUUUGAACGCACAUUGCGCCCCCUGGUAUUCCGGGGGGCAUGCCUGUUCGAGCGUCAUUUCACCACUCAAGCCUCGCUUGGUAUUGGGCGACGCGGUCCGCCGCGCGCCUCAAAUCGACCGGCUGGGUCUUUCGCCCCCUCAGCGUUGUGGAAACUAUUCGCUAAAGGGUGCCGCGGGAGGCCACGCCGUAAAACAACCCCAUUUCUAAGGUUGACCUCGGAUCAGGUAGAGAUACCCGCUGAACUUAAGC
Molecule: unclassified non-coding RNA, 299 nt
Filed under: plant metagenome
Description: partial contains 5.8S ribosomal RNA, internal transcribed spacer 2, and large subunit ribosomal RNA
Rfam family: 5.8S ribosomal RNA (bases 1-105)
Source: RNAcentral